This 461-nucleotide ribosomal RNA is filed under the name Paenibacillus sp. Its description in RNAcentral is "bacterial SSU rRNA". It matches the Rfam family "Bacterial small subunit ribosomal RNA", at positions 21 to 476 of the family's 1533-position model. The record is from RNAcentral. Lineage: Bacteria; Bacillati; Bacillota; Bacilli; Caryophanales; Paenibacillaceae.
GGCUCAGGACGAACGCUGGCGGCGUGCCUAAUACAUGCAAGUCGAGCGGACUUGAAGGAGUGCUUGCACUCCUGAGAGUUAGCGGCGGACGGGUGAGUAACACGUAGGCAACCUGCCCUCAAGACUGGGAUAACUACCGGAAACGGUAGCUAAUACCGGAUAAUUUAUUACAUAGCAUUAUGUGAUAAUGAAAGACGGAGCAAUCUGUCACUUGGGGAUGGGCCUGCGGCGCAUUAGCUAGUUGGUGGGGUAACGGCCCACCAAGGCGACGAUGCGUAGCCGACCUGAGAGGGUGAACGGCCACACUGGGACUGAGACACGGCCCAGACUCCUACGGGAGGCAGCAGUAGGGAAUCUUCCGCAAUGGGCGAAAGCCUGACGGAGCAACGCCGCGUGAGUGAUGAAGGUUUUCGGAUCGUAAAGCUCUGUUGCCAAGGAAGAACGUCUCAUAGAGUAACUGC